RNAcentral lists this ribosomal RNA (261 nucleotides) under uncultured archaeon. RNAcentral describes it as "partial 16S ribosomal RNA". It matches the Rfam family "Archaeal small subunit ribosomal RNA", at positions 748 to 1009 of the family's 1478-position model. The record is from RNAcentral.
UGGCCGUAAACGAUGUGGACUUGGUGUUGGGAUGGCUCCGAGCUGCCCCAGUGCCGAAGGGAAGCCGUGAAGCGAGCCACCUGGGAAGUACGGCCGCAAGGCUGAAACUUAAAGGAAUUGGCGGGGGAGCACAACAACGGGUGGAGCCUGCGGUUUAAUUGGACUCAACGCCGGACAACUCACCGGGGACGACAGCAAUAUGUAGGCCAGGCUGAAGACCUUGCCUGAAUCGCUGAGAGGUGGUGCAUGGCGUAGACGUCU